AGACAGACAAUUCUCCCCCAUCCGUCUUCUGGAUACUUUCUUUCAACUCCACUUACUCCAACUAUAGUACCCAUUUAGCAAAACCCCCAGAGACCACUGAGGAGCUGGUUUCCGAUGCAAGCACAUAAGGGUCCUUUUAUUCAGGUUCAACCUGGGCCACCGCAGGGCAGAUGGAAGGAAAUGUGGUGGUGGCCACAAACCCAGUACUGGGGAUGAAUGCAAGGACUUGUUCAUACAAACUAAGUGACCAACAGAACUUUGGCUCUGCUUUCUUUCUGCUUUACUAUAAAGGUAAAGCAUAUCCAGAGGAGUAAAGAAGAAACUGCUGCUGACUCUGACAUGUCUGCCCCACUGCUUCAGUUCUUGGAGACCUGCAUCCCUCACAUAGAUUAACUGAAGAUUAUUCAUCACAGCCUCUCAUUUCAUCCAUCAGUACCUUCAUUUAUCUCUAGAUGAUAACUGUUUCCUUUUUAAAUCAACACACCUUAAGAAAUUAACCAGAACUACUACUUUCAACCAAAAUCCAGUUUCAACCAAAACAACAAAGAAACAAAACAAACAAACAAACAAAAAACAAGAUCUGGUAUGAAUAAAAAGCUACGAUUGUC
Molecule: long non-coding RNA, 608 nt
Organism: Peromyscus maniculatus bairdii (prairie deer mouse)
Lineage: Eukaryota; Metazoa; Chordata; Mammalia; Rodentia; Cricetidae
Source: RefSeq, a predicted model, not a curated record